GGGGGGGACUGACGUCGGCCUGGCUCAGUCGCACAGUCCAUGGGAAAAUCCCAAGGACGCGGGAUGACCUCCCGCCGUCUCCCGUUACCCCUCCCCCCGCCCUCCUUCCCCUGGUGCUGAGCCCACUCGGUUUGGCUGUCCUCACGGCCGUCCUCACGGCCGUCCUCACGGAUGCACGCCUGGCUCGGGCAUCGCUUCUCCCAUCCCUCACGUCGCCCCCCCUCCCCCGCCAAAUCCCCGUGAGCGGGCUGCUCUGCGCGGUUCCCAGAGCCCUUCCCGAACAGAGAGGAGCCAGGACGUGCCCCAGCAGCUGCCCGAGUCCCUGACCGUGACAUGCAAGACAGACAAACCCUCCAAAAUUAGCCCCAAGGACUGAGGAAGGAACCCAGGAGAUGACAAGGAACACAGAACUCAGAAACCACCAUCUCUCUCUUGCCUGGGACCCUGACGAUCGGGGUGACGUCUAUGACCAAUGCCGACUCAAAGCAAAAGCUGCUGAAAUCUGAGCCCCGAGUCCUGUGGAGAAGCACCCUUUAUCCCCAACUGCAUAGGCCUUUUCCCAAAAGAAUUCCCAGAACAACACAGGCUAAUGUUGAAAUUAGCAAAAAUGAAGUCAUAGCAUUGGGUGACUGGAAGGAAACUCGGGUGUCACUGAGCCCAACACCCCUGAGCUCAGAGUAGAAGAAAACCCCUGCUCGGGCUUCUGUGGUUGAAUCAAACACCCACCCCAGCGCCUGGUGCAGAGCUAGGGCUAAAGCAGCAUUUGCUCAGUAAGGGAUAUGAGCACGGGGGUUGAAAUCGCGCAGAAAGACAGUGACGGGCCCAGAAUGAAACGAUCCAGCAGAAUCUCCACUCGUGCUAAUUAAAAAAAUUCUUUAAAACGCUUCUAGUCAGGUUUUUCCCCACAUUAUUUCAUUUAGUCCUGACCCCAACCCCAAGAGGCAGACUUUAUGCCCAUUUUACCCUGGGGAGACUGAGGUCGGGAGCUAGAAGUGUCUCACCCAAGGUCACACGCUCCGUGAGUAACAGACCUGGAAUGCGAACGCGGGUUUGUCCGACCUGCAGACUCAGGCAACGUUCCGCCCCAGCGCACAGCCUCUCACUCAAGAGCUGCGAAGGCGGACGCGCCCUCCCGUCCUCUGGGGACCUCCAGAGCCCCCUCCCCAGGCAGCGCACAUACUGAGGAGAGGGGUCCCUUCAGGAUUUUCCUAGAAACAUCUAAAUUAACCCACGACUGGACUGCAAGAAUCCAGACUUCUUUCCCAUCCAUGAUCAAAUCAGGCAUAUUAGGACAUGGACUUUAAAAGAAAUGUUGUUUUCUUUAUA
Molecule: long non-coding RNA, 1326 nt
Organism: Camelus dromedarius (Arabian camel)
Lineage: Eukaryota; Metazoa; Chordata; Mammalia; Artiodactyla; Camelidae
Exons: 2
Source: RefSeq, a predicted model, not a curated record